RNAcentral lists this ribosomal RNA (400 nucleotides) under phytoplankton environmental sample. RNAcentral's name for it is "partial small subunit ribosomal RNA". It matches the Rfam family "Eukaryotic small subunit ribosomal RNA", at positions 587 to 992 of the family's 1831-position model. The record is from RNAcentral.
AGCUCCAAUAGCGUAUAUUAAAGUUGUUGCAGUUAAAAAGCUCGUAGUUGGAUUUGUGGCUGUCGCGUGCGGCCCGGCAUUCGUGCCGGUGUUUGCUAGCGUCGCCAUCCUUGGGUGGAACCUGUGUGGCAUUAGGUUGUCGUGCAGGGGAUGCCCAUCGUUUACUGUGAAAAAAUUAGAGUGUUCAAAGCAGGCUUAUGCCGUUGAAUAUAUUAGCAUGGAAUAAUAAGAUAGGACCUUGGUACUAUUUUGUUGGUUUGCGCACCAAGGUAAUGAUUAAUAGGGACAGUUGGGGGUAUUCGUAUUCCAUUGUCAGAGGUGAAAUUCUUGGAUUUUUGGAAGACGAACUACUGCGAAAGCAUUUACCAAGGAUGUUUUCAUUAAUCAAGAACGAAAGUAC